GGUGGGCACUCUAAGGAGACUGCCGGUGACAAACCGGAGGAAGGUGGGGAUGACGUCAAGUCAUCCUGGCCCUUACGGCCAGGGCUACACACGUGCUACAAUGGUCGGUACAAAGGGUUGCCAAGCCGCGAGGUGGAGCUAAUCCCAUAAAACCGAUCGUAGUCCGGAUCGCAGUCUGCAACUCGACUGCGUGAAGUCGGAAUCGCUAGUAAUCGUGAAUCAGAAUGUCACGGUGAAUACGUUCCCGGGCCUUGUACACACCGCCCGUCACACCAUGGGAGUGGGUUGCUCCAGAAGUAGCUAGUCUAACCGCAAGGGGGACGGUUACCA
This 330-nucleotide ribosomal RNA is filed under the name Aquipseudomonas alcaligenes. RNAcentral describes it as "bacterial SSU rRNA". It matches the Rfam family "Bacterial small subunit ribosomal RNA", at positions 1130 to 1459 of the family's 1533-position model. The record is from RNAcentral. Lineage: Bacteria; Pseudomonadati; Pseudomonadota; Gammaproteobacteria; Pseudomonadales; Pseudomonadaceae.